UUGAACGCUGGCGGUAUGCUUUACACAUGCAAGUCGAACGGCAGCACGGGGGCAACCCUGGUGGCGAGUGGCGAACGGGUGAGUAACAUAUCGGAACAUAUCCGGAAGUGGGGGAUAGCUCGGCGAAAGCCGGAUUAAUACCGCAUACGAUCUGAGGAUGAAAGCGGGGGACCGUAAGGCCUCGCGCGAUCGGAGCGGCCGAUGUCAGAUUAGGUAGUUGGUGGGGUAAAGGCUCACCAAGCCGACGAUCUGUAGCUGGUCUGAGAGGACGACCAGCCACACUGGGACUGAGACACGGCCCAGACUCCUACGGGAGGCAGCAGUGGGGAAUUUUGGACAAUGGGCGCAAGCCUGAUCCAGCAAUGCCGCGUGCAGGAAGAAGGCCUUCGGGUUGUAAACUGCUUUUGUACGGAGCGAAAAGGCUCUCUCUAAUACAGGGGGCUCAUGACGGUACCGUAAGAAUAAGCACCGGCUAACUACGU
Molecule: ribosomal RNA, 482 nt
Filed under: uncultured bacterium
Lineage: Bacteria
Description: bacterial SSU rRNA
Rfam family: Bacterial small subunit ribosomal RNA
Source: RNAcentral